UCGCCCCCGACCCCGAAACCCUAGCCACUGCCGGCCGAUUCGGCCAUCGCCGGCCUCGGCGAGCAUUGCCGUCGGUCGAGGUGGCGCCGCCACGGCCGUCUCCAUCCGCUCCCCUUCGCCGCUUCUUCACCUCUGUCGUUUGGCUGAUGCGGUCUCGCCUCGGACUCCGCCCCGGCUUAUUACCGCCGCCGCGCGUCCACGCGGCACUGGCCGGACUUCCGCCGGCCCUUCAACUGCCGUGACGCCGCCACUAGCAUCGACACGCCCCUGGCCAAACCAAGCUGUGGAAUCGGCUUGGUUGCCAGCGCGGUGCCGCGCUCCGCCUGCUGCUCCCCAAUGGCGACCCCGCCUCCUCGUCGACCACGAGCCCGAGCUCGAGCUCCUGGUGGUUAUGUGGUGUUAGUUGCUGCUGCGGUGGUGAUGGGGUACUGCAGUACUGCUGCUCUGAUGCUUACUUCAGCUGCGACCCCGAGGUCGGCCGGACGGUGCCGUAGGCGCAACCCCGGCGUCCUCUGCCUUGCCUGCCUCCUCUACAGGGCACUGUGAGCUACUCCUCUCUUUCUCUAGGCCAUAAAUUUGGUGGUCAUGAAUUUGCGUGUGCUCGAACUGGUUGCUGUAUGUCAAUGGGGAUCAUCAUAUGAUGCAAUGUGAACCUGCUGCUAACUUAUUACUAAUAAUAAUGCCUCCGUUUGGAUGAUUUGAUCAUCCCAAAUUACAUGGGUGUGGCCUGAUUUUAUAUCCUGAUGAAACUGAAGCGUAAUAAUGUUGUUAAAUAGGUACUGUUUUAGUGGCUGAUGGAAUAGGUGUUACAUAAACAUCACAGUAUCUGGAUGGGCUACAUAUACAUUCAGGUUAUACAAGUUAGGGUAUUGAUUUCCCUAGUGAUGUGGUUGAUUUAGAGUGCUUCUAUGGGCUGUGUUCCUGAUCCUUGAUUAUCAGGUGAUAGUCUGUUCAUACAUCAUCAUGGCCUGGGACAUAUUGAUAUAUACUUGCUAGAUCACCUAUGUGCUUAUAGUUAUUGUAGCUUUGUUGUGGGCUUCAGAUGAUCCAUUGAUCAUCUGAUCACUUGCAGGGUAUAGAGUAUGACUGAUCCUUGACUACUAGCCCUGAUCUACAUUCUGCGCCAUGCCAUCAUGCCCUGAUCAUGAAGCACUGACACUUUGAUUUGUGGGGAAUUAUGACUUUAUCAUUAUUAUAUAUGUUCAAGGUCGGAUGUAAGUAUUUGGCUAAUUAUUAAAGCUUUGACAAAGAGAAUGUACAUGUUUCUUAAUUAUUGCUGUCAGAGUAUAGUUAAUAUUCGUAAUUUUGAUGGGUGAGAGUUGAUUUUUCCUGUUAAGUUGCCAUGAUUUUUCGCCUGAUAAAGCUAACUACAUUUCAAAUCAUUAUUUCAAUCUGUUUGCCCGCUGGCGGGCAAGCCGCGCCUUCCUACCUAGUUGGAUAACAUAAAUGGAGAAAUUGUGAGAAAUGUGGAGAAAGAGCUGUGGGAAAAUGACCCUCGAGAUGUGAAGUGCAAGAAGAGGAGAAUUGGUAAAUCUCAAGGUACCAUGUUGAAUACUGAAGGCGAUGCUGAUCAUUGAUGCUGUACAGGAGCAUAUUCUUCUAGCUAGACAGGUACACUGCUGAAGACUGGGAUCAACUGAAGGUGAUGCUGUCACAUUGUGAUGGUGUUUGAAUUGGAAACAUGGUGAUGAUGUUCACAGAGUACCUAUUGAGAUAUUGUGCUGAACAUCCACUACAUACUAUGUUGACACUGUGUUUACAGUCUGUAACUGAUAUUGGGUGAUAAUUACAGAAUAAAGUGCACUGGAUUAAUGUGUUGGCACUGUGUGCUUAUUCUUGUAUGACAGUACAUAUGUUCAUAUUGUGUGCUUCUUGUA
Long non-coding RNA from Lolium rigidum, 1877 nucleotides. RefSeq lists it as uncharacterized. The record is from RefSeq and is a predicted model, not a curated record. The transcript is spliced from 3 exons. Lineage: Eukaryota; Viridiplantae; Streptophyta; Magnoliopsida; Poales; Poaceae.